Molecule: ribosomal RNA, 253 nt
Filed under: uncultured bacterium
Lineage: Bacteria
Description: partial 16S ribosomal RNA
Rfam family: Bacterial small subunit ribosomal RNA
Source: RNAcentral
UACAUGGGGUGCAAGCGUUAAUCGGAAUUACUGGGCGUAAAGCGUGCGUAGACGGUUACAUAAGUCAGAUGUGAAAGCCCCGGGCUCAACCUGGGAAUUGCAUUUGAGACUGCGUAGCUAGGGUGCGGAAGAGGGAAGCGGAAUUUCCGGUGUAGCGGUGAAAUGCGUAGAUAUCGGAAGGAACACCAGUGGCGAAAGCGGCUUCCUGGUCCAGCACCGACGUUCAGGCACGAAAGCGUGGGGAGCAAACAGG